CUUCUGAUAAGUCAUCCAGUCGCGCGGGCCCAGCCCACCCCAUCUUCCCUAUCCUCCCUAUCUUCUUGUGGCGGCCGAGCGCACUAACAGAGAGGGAUUCUCUCUCGCCCCUUCCCUCUCCCCUCGCCAAAUAUUCAAGAUCUACUCACUCCACCACUCAAAUUCAUGGAUCUGAGGGCCCUGGGCAUCCUUGAGUUGGUGGACAAUUUUAGAAGAUUGGUAGGUACUAGAUGAUGUGUUCUUGAAUAUGUAGGCCAUAUUAUUUCGGAUUGGUGCUUGUACAGGCUAUUCAUAUGUUGUCAUAGGAACCCGCAUGAAGAGAGAUGAUGAACUCUUCAGAGGUCAUUUAUGGGAGCAUUGCACAUGUUGCGUCCUAGUGUCGUCACGUGUCACGCUUCGUUAAAGUGGGGUUUUUCGUACGAAAUUACUUUUCUAACUUUUUGGCUAAGUUAAGCACGAAUUCACCCCGUUUGAAAAAAUAUGUAUCCGACCUUUUUUGGUCACGCCAACACGUCUCGUUUGCAUGGGAGACAUCAUGGUCCCUGGUGUUUCCCCCUCGUCCACACAUCAUAGACCUCGGCUUUUACCCUCGACCCAAAACGCCACAGACCGUGGUGUUUUCUCCUGAUAAGUCAUCCAGCCGCGCGGGCCCAACCCACUCCAUCUUCCCUAUCCUCUGGCGACGAUCGAGCUAACGCACGAACAGAGAGGGUUCUCUCUCGCCCCUUCCCUCACCCCUCACCAAAUCCUCAAGAUAUACUCAUUCCACCCCUCAAAUUCAUGGAUCUGAGGCCCCUAAGCAUCCUCAAGGCCAUAUUAAUUCGGAUUUGUGCCUAUAUAGGCUAUCAAUACGUUGUCAUAGGAACCCACAUGAAGAGAUAUGAUGAACACUUGAUGGUUGUAUAUGGUACGGUUUGUUUGAGAUCUUGGUUUGGUUAUAGAUGAUUAAUGUUUGCAUAUGUUGUCGCAUGGGAUAUUAUCAAGAGAGAUGAUGGUUGUAUGUGAUAUUGUUUGUUUGAUAAUCUUGCUUGGUUUAUAAAUGAUGUGUGUGCAUGUGCUA
Non-coding RNA from Aegilops tauschii subsp. strangulata, 1060 nucleotides. Lineage: Eukaryota; Viridiplantae; Streptophyta; Magnoliopsida; Poales; Poaceae. The record is from RefSeq and is a predicted model, not a curated record.